CGAGAGCCUGACGGAGCAACGCCGCGUGAGGGAGGAAGGCCUGUGGGUCGUAAACCUCUUUUCUCAGGGAAGAAGUACUGACGGUACCUGAGGAAUCAGCAUCGGCUAACUCCGUGCCAGCAGCCGCGGUAAGACGGAGGAUGCAAGCGUUAUCCGGAAUUAUUGGGCGUAAAGCGUCCGUAGGUGGUAUAGAAAGUCUGUUGUUAAAUCCCACAGCUCAACUGUGGAUCGGCAAUGGAAACUACUAAACUUGAGUGUGGUAGGGGUAGAGGGAAUUCCUAGUGUAGCGGUGAAAUGCGUAGAUAUUAGGAAGAACACCAGUGGCGAAGGCGCUCUACUGGGCCAUAACUGACACUGAUGGACGAAAGCUAGGGGAGCGAAAGGGAUUAGAUACCCCUGUAGUCCUAGCUGUAAACGAUGGAUACUAGGUGUUGGCCGUAUCGACCCGGUCAGUAUCGAAGCAAACGCGUUAAGUAUCCCGCCUGGGGAGUACGCACGCAAGUGUGAAACUCAAAGGAAUUGACGGGGGCCCGCACAAGCGGUGGAGUAUGUGGUUUAAUUCGAUGCAACGCGAAGAACCUUACCAGGGAUUGACAUCCUACGAAUCCUCUUGAAAGGGAGGAGUGCCUUCGGGAGCGUAGAGACAGGUGGUGCAUGGCUGUCGUCAGCUCGUGUCGUGAGAUGUUGGGUUAAGUCCCGCAACGAGCGCAACCCUCGUCCUUAGUUGCCAUCAUUAAGUUGGGCACUUUAAGGAGACUGCCGGUGACAAACCGGAGGAAGGUGGGGAUGACGUCAAGUCAUCAUGCCCCUUACAUCCUGGGCUACACACGUACUACAAUGCAACGGACAAAGGGCAGCCAACUAGCGAUAGUGAGCUAAUCCCAUAAACCGUUGCUCAGUUCAGAUUGCAGGCUGCAACUCGCCUGCAUGAAGGCGGAAUCGCUAGUAAUCGCAGGUCAGCAUACUGCGGUGAAUACGUUCCCGGGCCUUGUACACACCGCCCGUCACACCAUGGAAGUUGGCCACGCCCGAAGUCGUUACCCCAACCCUUGGGGGGGGGAACGCCGGAAGGCGGGCGGAUGACUGGGUGGGAGAAUAACCAAGGUAGUCGUACCGGAAGGAGUGGCUGGUUCAUCACCUUAUAAGGAGAACCUCCUAAGUAUAGAGAACGAACACUAUGAGGGAAGAGUUCAUAGCUAUAGUCCCUAAAGGCCUUUAGGGGUUUCAAAAUUAAAAGUUACAAAGCGAAGAAAGUGUUUCGAGAGAGAUGCUGGAAGCGUGAGUUGCCAAAUCUUCAAUUAUUCCAGGUGUUAUGCCAUCAGAGAUACGCGAUGGUUAACGGGUAAUUACUCAAGGUGGUUAGAGCGCACCCCUGAUAAGGGUGAGGCCCCUGUUUGAGGUCCAGGAUGGCCCACUUACAUCGACUUGCACAAAAGAGCUGCAUGGAAUGGGGGUAUAGCUCAGCUGGUAGAGCGCCUGCUUUGCAAGCAGGACGUCAGCGGUUCGGGUCCGCUUACCUCCACCACGACUAGCCGAAAGCAAAUCAAUAAAAAGAGUCAAAGCAAUCAGCAUCUAAUGCUGUGCGGAAGGAAGUUUUAAACGCCAUUCCAAACACCAUAGCGUGCUGGUCUCUUAGAGACUAGUAAGAACCUUGACAACUGCAUAGAAAAAAUAGAAAAGCAAAGGUAGUUCGAGUGUCUGUAGUAGACAUUUGAAAACAAGAAAGCCCAAUGAGCUUAGCUAUGUAGGAAGUUAGAAGGCGAGAGCCAUCUGACUAACUAU
RNAcentral lists this small RNA (1782 nucleotides) under Phormidesmis priestleyi AB 12-7. Its description in RNAcentral is "bacterial SSU rRNA". The stretch from base 1 to 1142 matches the Rfam family "Bacterial small subunit ribosomal RNA", at positions 376 to 1533 of the family's 1533-position model. Lineage: Bacteria; Bacillati; Cyanobacteriota; Cyanophyceae; Leptolyngbyales; Leptolyngbyaceae. The record is from RNAcentral.